CGGAUGUUGCUGUGAGCUUCCAUCUGUCCAUGCUGUCGUGAAUUCAUUUUAUGUGUGAGUGAAACAUGUCCAAGACCUUCUCACAUAGAAGACAAGAUGUUGUGCAGAGCCCUCACGUGAAUGCCUUCAAAGGCUGUUCCAGCCUAUUCAGAUAGAGGAAGAGUUCCAAAGACCCACGACCGUCUGACUUCGUUCCACCUUUCAUGGGCAAUGUUGUCCUUGUAUAAGUCAAAAGGAGGUGCUGUUAAGGAAGAGUUGCAGGGCAUCCUGGAAGCGCAGUGCAGCGUAUGCAGUCAAGAGACAUUCACAGUACAGUCAAUAAUGACAUUUGAUUACAUUUAUUUAGUUGCCUGUAUAUAGUAAAUACAACCAUUUUGACAGUGACAACACCAUAGAGG
Molecule: long non-coding RNA, 398 nt
Organism: Oncorhynchus tshawytscha (Chinook salmon)
Lineage: Eukaryota; Metazoa; Chordata; Actinopteri; Salmoniformes; Salmonidae
Source: Ensembl